GGUCCCUUAGCUCAGCUGGAUAGAGCGCCACCCUCCGAAGGUGGAGGCCGAACGUUCGAAUCGUUCAGGGACCGCCA
Molecule: transfer RNA, 77 nt
Filed under: Aestuariivita sp.
Lineage: Bacteria; Pseudomonadati; Pseudomonadota; Alphaproteobacteria; Rhodobacterales; Paracoccaceae
Description: tRNA-Arg
Rfam family: tRNA
About the family: Transfer RNA (tRNA) molecules are approximately 80 nucleotides in length. Their secondary structure includes four short double-helical elements and three loops (D, anti-codon, and T loops).
Source: RNAcentral